RNAcentral lists this ribosomal RNA (458 nucleotides) under uncultured bacterium. RNAcentral's name for it is "partial 16S ribosomal RNA". It matches the Rfam family "Bacterial small subunit ribosomal RNA", at positions 338 to 795 of the family's 1533-position model. The record is from RNAcentral.
CCUACGGGGGGCUGCAGUGAGGAAUAUUGGUCAAUGGGCGAGAGCCUGAACCAGCCAAGUCGCGUGAGGGAGUACUGCCCUAUGGGUUGUAAACCUCUUUUGUCGGGGAGCAAAAGCCGGACGUGUCCGGCUGUGAGAGUACCCGAAGAAAAAGCAUCGGCCAACUCCGUGCCAGCAGCCGCGGUAAUACGGAGGAUGCGAGCGUUAUCCGGAUUUAUUGGGUUUAAAGGGUGCGCAGGCGGAUUUUUAAGUCAGCGGUAAAAUCGUGGGGCUCAACCCCAUCCAGCCGUUGAAACUGGGGAUCUAGAGUGUGCGAGAGGUAUGCGGAAUGCGUGGUGUAGCGGUGAAAUGCAUAGAUAUCACGCAGAACCCCGAUUGCGAAGGCAGCAUACCGGUGCACAACUGACGCUCAGGCACGAAAGCGUGGGUAUCGAACAGGAUUAGAUACCCCAGUAGUC